Molecule: ribosomal RNA, 762 nt
Filed under: Triticum aestivum (bread wheat)
Lineage: Eukaryota; Viridiplantae; Streptophyta; Magnoliopsida; Poales; Poaceae
Description: partial small subunit ribosomal RNA
Source: RNAcentral
AUGUCGGCCGCCGCCGGCAAGCCGUCCCGGUCUGCCUCCGCCAUCAUUGCCUCCACAACGAGCGGGUGCCACCUCCUCAAGAUCGAUGGCUACUCCCGCACCAAGGGCGUCCCCACCGGAGAAAGGAUAAAGUCCCGCUCUUUCACCCUUGGAGGACAUCGAUGGUACAUCGCUUACCAUCCCAACGGCUCCGGACAACAGUACGCAGACUGCAUAUCCCUCUUCCUCGUCCUCGAUGAAAAUGUCACCACGGCAAUGAAGGCACAACACAAAUUCAGUGUCGCGGAUGAGUUGACGGACCAAGCUCCUUCAUUGGCAUCACAAGCAGUACACAACCACAAUUCUCAGCAGCGCUGGGGGAAUGCGAUGUUCAUGAAAAGGGCAGACUUGGAGAAGUCGGCACAUCUCAAGGACGAUUCUUUCACCAUCAGGUGUGAUAUCCUUGUCAUCAUGGAUUACCGUGCAGAGGACUUGCCCAAAGACACCCCUCCAACAUUUGUCUCUGUGGCCCCAUCUGACCUGCACCAGCACCUCGGCGAUCUCCUCAAGACCGAGAAGGGCGCCGAUGUGGUCUUCCAGGUCGGUGGUCAUACGUUUGCAGCACACAGGUGUGUGCUUGCUGCCCGAUCGCCAGUCUUUAGUGCGGAGCUCUUUGGUGGCAUGAAGGAGGGUGACACCGCAGGUGUGGUGCGCAUAGAUGAAAGGAGGCAGAGGUGUUUGAGGCAUUGCUCUGUUUUGCGUAUACCGACUCCUUACCGUUGA